UACGUAGGGUGCGAGCGUUGUCCGGAAUUAUUGGGCGUAAAGAGCUUGUAGGCGGUUUGUCGCGUCUGCCGUGAAAAUCCGGGGCUCAACCCCGGGACUUGCGGUGGGUACGGGCAGACUAGAGUGUGGUAGGGGAGACUGGAAUUCCUGGUGUAGCGGUGAAAUGCGCAGAUAUCAGGAGGAACACCGAUGGCGAAGGCAGGUCUCUGGGCCACUACUGACGCUGAGAAGCGAAAGCAUGGGGAGCGAACAGGAUUAGAAA
Molecule: ribosomal RNA, 262 nt
Filed under: uncultured bacterium
Lineage: Bacteria
Description: partial 16S ribosomal RNA
Rfam family: Bacterial small subunit ribosomal RNA
Source: RNAcentral